UUAUCUCUGUAGAGUCUGCAUAUCAAUAAGCGGAGGAAAAGAAACUAACUAGGAUUCCCUCAGUAACGGCGAGUGAAGCGGGAAGAGCUCAAAUUUGAAAUCUUCAAGGUUCUACCUUGACGAAUUGUAGUUUAAAGAAGUGUUUUCUGUUGGAGUUUUGGUAAAAGUUCUUUGGAAUAGGACAUCAUAGAGGGUGAGAAUCCCGUAUUUGACCAUUAUUUCCAGCUUUGUGAUUACACUUUCAAAGAGUCGGAUUGUUUGGGAAUGCAGUCCAAAAUGGGUGGUAAAUUUCAUCUAAAGCUAAAUAUUGGCGAGAGACCGAUAGCGAACAAGUACCGUGAGGGAAAGAUGAAAAGAACUUUGAAAAGAGAGUUAAACAGUACGUGAAAUUGUCAAAAGGGAAGCGUUUGACACCAGUGUUGUUUUCUCGAAAAUCAAUUAAAGAAGCAUGAUUUAUGUAGUUGUAUUAGACUUUAUCAGCUUAUCUGCCUCUAGUUUGAGCUUUUCUUUUAAUGCACUUUUCAGUUAACAAGUCAACAUCAAUUUCUUUUGUUGUAAAAGGGUCAUUGGAAGGUGGCUUUCUUUUCGGAGAAAGUGUUUAUAGCCUUUGGCCUCUGCAAUCGGAGAGAUUGAGGUCUGCAGCGUAGAUCCUUCGGGGUUAGAUACAUUUGUGCUAAGUUAUAGCCUUUCAUAGACAACUUGUUGACUAUGAUCAGUCAUGUAGCUUACUCGCUUAUGCUAUUUUACCUACGCUUAGGAUGUUGACGAUCAGCUGAGCGCG
RNAcentral lists this ribosomal RNA (781 nucleotides) under uncultured Neocallimastigales. Its description in RNAcentral is "partial large subunit ribosomal RNA". It matches the Rfam family "Eukaryotic large subunit ribosomal RNA", at positions 24 to 636 of the family's 3401-position model. Lineage: Eukaryota; Fungi; Neocallimastigomycota; Neocallimastigomycetes; Neocallimastigales. The record is from RNAcentral.